UCGUAACAAGGUUUCCGUAGGUGAACCUGCGGAAGGAUCAUUAUUGUAUAAUAUCCUUACCGUUAAUAAAUAUUUGUAAUUAUACAAAUAAAAACAAUUUACCAAAAUAAAAAUAUAACAAAAUGAUUCCAUGGAAUCAAAAGUUAAAAUCAAAAUAAAACGAAGAUGGGUUUUAUUUAUAUAGUUAGUGUGGGGCUUGGCAACCUCAUAAAAAGAUUUUAACAUUUCUAAUGUAUGUUGUGCGUAUUUGUGGCGAGUACUUACAACAACGGCGUUUCCUAUAAAAAUAAUGUUUCGAACAUGAAAAUCGAAGAAACAAAAUUCGAAAGUGGAAGUCGAAUCAAAAUAAAAUAAUUUCGAAUGUGUGGUAAUCAUCGAAAUAAGUGUUAAUAUAAUUGGUAGAUAUUAACUAAUUUUUAAAAUUUGUGUGUAUUUAUUACUAUACACGCGUUGCGAAUAUGUAUUGUUCAUCUUAGUUAUGGGCAUACGUUGGC
This 494-nucleotide ribosomal RNA is filed under the name Drosophila melanogaster (fruit fly). RNAcentral describes it as "18S rRNA". The stretch from base 1 to 43 matches the Rfam family "Eukaryotic small subunit ribosomal RNA", at positions 1789 to 1831 of the family's 1831-position model. Lineage: Eukaryota; Metazoa; Arthropoda; Insecta; Diptera; Drosophilidae. The record is from RNAcentral.